GCUUUGCUGUUUCCUUUCAUAUUUUUAUAUUUCUAGAUUUCUAUAUUAAUUGAAUUUAUUUCUUUUUUGUAUUUAUCAGUUAAACAAUUAAUAGUUUUGCAUUUAAAUUAAACAUUAAAGUGAAAUAAACAAAGCAUUUACAUAUUAAGGUUUGAAAUUGAUAUACCAUACUUUCCUAGGACAACUGCUACAGCAAAAUGUCAAAAGUGGAGAGUAAAGCGGUUAAACGCAUGACCCCAAUUGAGGUGGUGCAGAAAAACAAUCCCCUUAUUAAAGGCCUACCAGAGGCCUCAAAGAAAUGGAACAAGCAUUGGCCAGAUAUUGAACAACCUUGGCCGGUUGAAGGUACCCUCAACCCUGAUGUGAUUCAAACAAUCUGUACACUUGUUACCGCCUAUAAAGCAAAUGAGAAAAAAGGAAAAAGGGGGACGUCUCAUGUAGAAAAAAGACAGACUGAACUCGCAAUGUUGCAACUUUUUGAACAGGAGGGACAGAAGUUGAGAUUGGCUGCAAAAAAGAAAAACAGAACAGCCAAAGAAAUUAUUGAAAGAACCGCAAAACAAACAGCGGCGCUUGUGGAAAAGAUGAACACUCCUUUCUCUCAUACGGCUCCUGUAACAACCCCUCCACCGUAUGAGACAGAAACUGAAUACACUGACAUCUAUCCACAACUUCCCGUACUCAGCCAGAAAGGCAAGUACAACAUUAAAGAUGAUCACAACCAAACUGUUGAAAAGGGAAAGGCAAAAACAGUCAUACACAUUUAUCCAACAACUCCAAAAUCUAAAUCAAGAAAAACACGAGAUGAUGUCUACAACACACUGCUUCUGGAGGAUGAUGAUGAGAGCGGUACGGAUGAAGCCAUAGGUGGUUAUGAUCCCGCCAUUAAGCGUGUGUUGGCUAAAGCUGAAAAGAGGGGUAACGAAUCUAAAAAGAAAGCUAAGUCUGGUCAAGAUCUGACCGAUGACAGCUCAGGGUCGGACACUGAUGAAGACUCAGAUGGCAAUUGUUCUUCCUCUGAGGAAAGACAACGUUCUUUGAGAAAUCUCGAAAGGGAUAUCGAACAGUGUCGUUUAGACAUUAGCUUGACGGGAACUCCAGAAGCUCAAAAGAUGCGAGAAAGAAAAUUGGAAGAUAUGGAAAAACGGCGUAAGUCGUUAAAGAAGGGAAGGCUUUCAAGGCUGAUCACUUCCGACUAUGCCUUGCAUUCAAAGAAAGACAGCUCUGCUAACAGAAUGUUCUCUGUUGUUGUUCGUGGUCAAAAUCUUGAGUAUAAACCUUGGCAGAACUCCGAUAUGUCAGAUAUAUUAGAGAAGCUACCUAUCCUUCAGGAAGGGGCACACCCCUGGAUUUCAAAACUGGAGGAACUUUUGAUUGGAACACAACCUGCUGUUGGAGACAUUAAAAGGCUCCUAGCUAAUCUCAUUGGUGUGUCUGCCAUGGAAGACCUUUUGCAGAAGGCUGGCAUGCCUCGGUUCAUGGCAACUGCAGUAAAUGAUGCUGAACUGUUUUCUGCUCACAGAGGUCAGUUUUGGGGGGCGCUGAAAGACACGUUUCCAACCAACAUACAUCCUGAUAAUAUCCUCAUUGAACCAUUGGGUGAACAAGAAAAUCCGAGAGCCUACGUUUCAAGAGCUCUACAAACUUGGCGUAAUGUCACAGGCAAUGAUCCCGACGCUAAUCAAAUGGAGCAGUCUAUAAUUCGAGCUAAAAUUCAGAAGGGAUUGCCACUGCCGGUGCGUAGUAAAAUAGCAGAGGUGGUUGGUCUUGGGAACAUGAUUAAGAGUGUUUACAUUGAUCACAUUGCUCACCAG
This 1814-nucleotide long non-coding RNA is filed under the name Takifugu rubripes (torafugu). Its description in RNAcentral is "lncRNA (ENSTRUG00000030840.1)". The record is from RNAcentral. Lineage: Eukaryota; Metazoa; Chordata; Actinopteri; Tetraodontiformes; Tetraodontidae.